GUCGGUUUCCACCAAUGGUUUUAUUACAACACCAAUUGCAGUAAUUUUGAAAGCUGGAUUCUGGAUUUAGAAUUAUGUUCAAAGUUACAACCAUACGUCCCUUUGGCCUCGGGAUUCUACAACUUUAGAUUUUGGGUGGUGAAAUGGAUAAGAACUAGCUUAGCUAAAGCAUGCUUAUGGGCGUUUUACAUGGGUCCAUCAAGGAAGGAUGCAUGCAUGCAACCACUUGGGUUGUUACAUAAUGUUUCCAGAGCUAGUUUGUUGGUUGUCUCCUCCCUCAAGGGUUAGAGUAUGAAAUCUGCAGAAACUGGAGUAAUGUUGAACGGGAAGUGGAUUUUUUAGGAGUUAAAAGUAUUAUAGGCUUUGGUUAUUGGAAAUGAGUAGAAGGAAGGUUGCAUGCAUUCAUAAAUCCAACUGCAUACUUCGAGGAAAAGCUCAUUUUCUUUUUCACCCACAAAAAAAAAAAAAAACCUAUGCAAUUUGAUCUUAAGAAUUAUACAUGGCUAUUUUGGUACCUACGUCGUAUUUCUUUCCAGGUUUUCUGUCAUUACAUAGGCCGACAGAAACGUUAUCCUUGGGGCUAGGUGUUGAGUUUGUCAUGCUAUGAGAGUAUUGUGUCUUCCCCGUCGGGCGGUUGGACAUUGCCACCAACCUUGAUGGGUGCAGCCCGUGUGAGCCGACUGACCAAGCUCUUGAUCUCUAAUUAUAUAUAGACCUCUGAUACUUUCUUGUGAAUGUCGAUCGGAUCAAAUGGAAUUUGAAGAAGCCAUUUAUGUGUUGAGAGUAUUGUGUCUUCACCGUCGGGCCUUUGGACAUUGCCACCAACCUUGAUGGAUGCAGCCCAUGUGAUGUGAGCCAACUGACCAAGCUCUUGAUCUCUAAUUAUAUAUAGACCUCUGAUACUUUCUGGCGAAUGUUG
This 919-nucleotide long non-coding RNA is filed under the name Prunus persica (peach). Its description in RNAcentral is "long non-coding RNA (PPER_LNC008231)". Lineage: Eukaryota; Viridiplantae; Streptophyta; Magnoliopsida; Rosales; Rosaceae. The record is from RNAcentral.